RNAcentral lists this long non-coding RNA (460 nucleotides) under Mytilus galloprovincialis (Mediterranean mussel). Lineage: Eukaryota; Metazoa; Mollusca; Bivalvia; Mytilida; Mytilidae. The record is from RNAcentral.
CUCCGAAGUAAUUAAAACAGGAAAGUCCCUAAUCAAAUGGCAAUAUCAAAUUCUCAAACACAUCAAACACGUCAAACGAAUAGUGGUUUGUUAUCGACAUUUUAAAACUUUAGAUAUAAGUUUAAAAGAAUUCAUGAUCAAAUAGACUGUCCAAAGGGAGUUAUAAAAAAGUAGGAAAUGAAAAAAAAAAACACAAUUUGUAUAAAGCCUUGUAGAAAAACGCAUAUACAGAGUUUCAACUCUCUUUCUUUUUAAUCUCAAUUAGUACCAAUAACUAUAUAAAAAAAGUUACAUUGUAGAUUGUACAAUAAAAUGCAGUACAACAAAACCCUCAACUCGAUAAAAGAAAGAGGCGAAAGUCAAAGACACAUUCAAACUCAUCAGUCGAAAAUAAAGUGACAACGCCAGGGCUAACAAAAGAAUGACAAAGACAAACAGACUAACAAGUGGUUAUUAUAAU